CCUACGGGAGGCAGCAGUGAGGAAUAUUGGUCAAUGGCCGCAGGGCUGAACCAGCCAAGUCGCGUGAGGGAUGACGGUCCUAUGGAUUGUACACCUCUUUUGUCAGGGAGUAAACGGCGCCACGUGUGUCUUUUUUCGAGUACCUGAAGAAAAAGCAUCGGCUAACUCCGUGCCCGCCUCCGCGGUACUACGGCGGAUUCGAGCGUUAUCCGGAUUUAUUGGGUUUAAGGGGUGCUCAGGCGGAGUGUCAAGUCAGCGGUAAAAUUUCGGGGCUCAACCCCGUAGUGCCGUUGAAACUGGCGUUCUUGAGUGAGCGAGAAGGAUGCGGAAUGCGUGGUGGAGCGGUGAAAUGCAUAGAUAUCACGCAGAACUCCGAGUGCGAAGGCAGCAUACCGACGCUCAACUGACGCUCAUGCACGAAAGCGUGGGUAUCGAACAGGAUUAGAUACCCGGGUAGUC
This 459-nucleotide ribosomal RNA is filed under the name uncultured bacterium. RNAcentral describes it as "partial 16S ribosomal RNA". It matches the Rfam family "Bacterial small subunit ribosomal RNA", at positions 338 to 795 of the family's 1533-position model. The record is from RNAcentral.